GUGGGGAAUCUUGCGCAAUGGGCGAAAGCCUGACGCAGCCAUGCCGCGUGAAUGAUGAAGGUCUUAGGAUUGUAAAAUUCUUUCACCGGGGACGAUAAUGACGGUACCCGGAGAAGAAGCUCCGGCUAACUUCGUGCCAGCAGCCGCGGUAAUACGAAGGGGGCUAGCGUUGCUCGGAAUUACUGGGCGUAAAGGGCGCGUAGGCGGACAGCUUAGUCAGAGGUGAAAGCCCAGGGCUCAACCUUGGAAUUGCCUUUGAUACUGGCUGUCUUGAGUAUGGAAGAGGUAUGUGGAACUCCGAGUGUAGAGGUGAAAUUCGUAGAUAUUCGGAAGAACACCAGUGGCGAAGGCGACAUACUGGUCCAUUACUGACGCUGAGGCUCGAAAGCGUGGGGAGCAAACAGGAUUAGAAACCCUGGUAGUCC
This 425-nucleotide ribosomal RNA is filed under the name uncultured bacterium. RNAcentral describes it as "partial 16S ribosomal RNA". It matches the Rfam family "Bacterial small subunit ribosomal RNA", at positions 354 to 796 of the family's 1533-position model. The record is from RNAcentral.